UGGACUGAACCACUGAACUGUAAGCCAGCC
Molecule: non-coding RNA, 30 nt
Filed under: Rattus norvegicus (Norway rat)
Lineage: Eukaryota; Metazoa; Chordata; Mammalia; Rodentia; Muridae
Source: RNAcentral